GUGGCCAGCGCGUAAUGGCGGGAACUCAUAGGAGACUGCCGGGGUCAACUCGGAGGAAGGUGGGGAUGUACGUCAAAUCAUCAUGCCCCUUAUGUCUUGGGCUUCACGCAUGCUACAAUGGCCGGUACAAAGGGCUGCAAUACCGUAAAGUGGAGCGUAAUCCCAAAAAGCCGGUCUCAGUUCGGAUUGAGGUCUGCAACUCGACCUCAUUAAGUCGGAGUCGCUAGUAAUCGCAGAUCAGCAACGCUGCGGUGAAUACAUUCCCUGGGCCUUGUACACUACCGCCCGUCAAGUCAUGAAAGUCGGUAGCGCCCGAAGCCGGUGGCCCAACCCUUGUGGAGGGAGCCGUCGAAGGUGGGAUCGGUGAUUAAGACUAAUUCGUACCAAGGUAGCCGUACCGGAA
This 403-nucleotide ribosomal RNA is filed under the name Clavibacter sp. 1033. RNAcentral describes it as "bacterial SSU rRNA". It matches the Rfam family "Bacterial small subunit ribosomal RNA", at positions 1114 to 1510 of the family's 1533-position model. The record is from RNAcentral. Lineage: Bacteria; Bacillati; Actinomycetota; Actinomycetes; Micrococcales; Microbacteriaceae.